RNAcentral lists this ribosomal RNA (560 nucleotides) under Salmonella enterica subsp. enterica serovar Newport. Its description in RNAcentral is "partial 23S ribosomal RNA". It matches the Rfam family "Bacterial large subunit ribosomal RNA", at positions 456 to 1014 of the family's 2925-position model. The record is from RNAcentral. RNAcentral also lists the same sequence under 1 other name. Lineage: Bacteria; Pseudomonadati; Pseudomonadota; Gammaproteobacteria; Enterobacterales; Enterobacteriaceae.
UCCUCCAAGGCUAAAUACUCCUGACUGACCGAUAGUGAACCAGUACCGUGAGGGAAAGGCGAAAAGAACCCCGGCGAGGGGAGUGAAAAAGAACCUGAAACCGUGUACGUACAAGCAGUGGGAGCACAGGUUUACCUGUGUGACUGCGUACCUUUUGUAUAAUGGGUCAGCGACUUAUAUUCUGUAGCAAGGUUAACCGAAUAGGGGAGCCGGAGGGAAACCGAGUCUUAAUUGGGCGUUAAGUUGCAGGGUAUAGACCCGAAACCCGGUGAUCUAGCCAUGGGCAGGUUGAAGGUUGGGUAACACUAACUGGAGGACCGAACCGACUAAUGUUGAAAAAUUAGCGGAUGACCUGUGGCUGGGGGUGAAAGGCCAAUCAAACCGGGAGAUAGCUGGUUCUCCCCGAAAGCUAUUUAGGUAGCGCCUCGUGAACUCAUCUCCGGGGGUAGAGCACUGUUUCGGCUAGGGGGCCAUCCCGGCUUACCAACCCGAUGCAAACUGCGAAUACCGGAGAAUGUUAUCACGGGAGACACACGGCGGGUGCUAACGUCCGUCGUGAA